Molecule: ribosomal RNA, 301 nt
Filed under: uncultured bacterium
Lineage: Bacteria
Description: partial 16S ribosomal RNA
Rfam family: Bacterial small subunit ribosomal RNA
Source: RNAcentral
CAGCAGCCACGGUAAUACGUAGGGUGCAAGCGUUAAUCGGAAUUACUGGGCGUAAAGCGUGCGCAGGCGGUUAUAUAAGUCAGAUGUGAAAUCCCCGGGCUCAACCUGGGAACUGCAUUUGAGACUGUAUGGCUAGAGUGUGUCAGAGGGGGGUAGAAUUCCACGUGUAGCAGUGAAAUGCAUAGAUAUGUGGAGGAAUACCGAUGGCGAAGGCAGCCCCCUGAGAUAACACUGACGCUCAUGCACGAAAGCGUGGGGAGCAAACAGGAUUAGAUACCCGUGUAGUCCCUGUCUCUUAUAC